UACGGGGGGGGCAAGCGUUGUUCGGAAUUACUGGGCGUAAAGGGCUCGUAGGUGGCCAACUAAGUCAGAUGUGAAAGCCCCGGGCUCAACCUGGGAACUGCAUUUGAAACUGGCGGGCUUGAGUGUGGCAGAGGGGGGUGGAAUUCCGCGUGUAGCAGUGAAAUGCGUAGAGAUGCGGAGGAACACCGAUGGCGAAGGCAGCCCCCUGGGCCAACACUGACGCUCAGGCACGAAAGCGUGGGGAGCAAACAGG
RNAcentral lists this ribosomal RNA (253 nucleotides) under uncultured bacterium. RNAcentral's name for it is "partial 16S ribosomal RNA". It matches the Rfam family "Bacterial small subunit ribosomal RNA", at positions 524 to 776 of the family's 1533-position model. The record is from RNAcentral.